Molecule: ribosomal RNA, 519 nt
Filed under: uncultured eukaryote
Lineage: Eukaryota
Description: partial 18S ribosomal RNA
Rfam family: Eukaryotic small subunit ribosomal RNA
Source: RNAcentral
AGGGCACCACCCGGAUUGGACCCUGCGGCUUAUUUUGACUCAACGCGGGAAAUCUCACCAGGCCCGGACACCGGAAGGAUUGACAGAUUGAAAGCUUUUUCUUGAUUCGGGGGGGGGGGGGGCAUGGCCGUUCUAAGUUGGUGGAGCGAUUUGUCUGGUUAAUUCCGAUAACAAGGCAAACUCUGGCCUACUAACUAGACAGGGAAUCCCUUCGAGGGUUCUCUACUGCUUCUUAGAGGGACGGGCGGCGUUGUGCCCCACGAGAAUGAGCAAUAACAGGUCUGUGAUGCCCUUCGAUGUUCUGGGCUGCACACGCUCUACACUGAAGGAAUCAUCGUGACCUCCCCGCCCUGAAUAGGGUGGGUAACCCUUUCAGACUCCUUCCUGAUGGGGAUUGGAGAUUGUAAUUAUUCUCCAUGAACUAGGAAUUCCCAGUAGGCGCGAGUCAUCAGCUUGCGUCUAUUACGUCCCUGCCCUUUUACACACCGCCCGUCGCUACUACCGAUCGAGUGAUUUAGU